Non-coding RNA from Pelobates cultripes (western spadefoot toad), 231 nucleotides. Lineage: Eukaryota; Metazoa; Chordata; Amphibia; Anura; Pelobatidae. The record is from the annotation of a GenBank genome assembly.
GAAUUCUGGUGCCAAGCUACCUCGGCAAAUACUUUGUUGUUUCGCAAUCUUGAGCACAUUUUGCUUGUUUCUUACAGAAUAGACAGGUUUGUUUGUCUACCCUUCUCUUUCUCUGUGCCUUUCAUUCUCCUACUGGCUGUUUGAGAGAGGUAACCGCAUGUUUAUAAUAAGGAUAAAAAUAUAUAUUCCAGAUCAUGAAUUAAUAGCCAGGAGAUACCCGAUGAAUUCCCC